GACGAACCGUCCAAACGUUAUUCGGAAUCAUUGUGCUUAAAGGGUGCGUAGGCGGUGCGGUAAGGUGGGUGUGAAAUACCUCGGCUCAUCCGAGGAAUGGCCCCCAAAACUGUCGUACUCGAGGGAGACAGGGGUAAGCGGAACUGAUGGUGGAGCGGUGAAAUGCGUUGAUAUCAUCAGGAACACCAGUGGCGAAAGCGGCUUACUGGGUCUCUUCUGACGCGGAGGCACGAAAGCUAGGGGAGCAAACGGG
RNAcentral lists this ribosomal RNA (253 nucleotides) under uncultured bacterium. Its description in RNAcentral is "partial 16S ribosomal RNA". It matches the Rfam family "Bacterial small subunit ribosomal RNA", at positions 524 to 776 of the family's 1533-position model. The record is from RNAcentral.